AAUGAUUGCAGCAAAAACACACAUAGUCGCGGAUCUCGGUAAUCUCAUGAAAAAUGGAUGUAACAAUCGACAAAACGGUAGUAGCAAAAUCCAAAACGGUUGUAGCAUAAGUGGUGCAAAUGGUUACAACCAAAAAGGACAUGGCAGCAAAAUUUUGGUUAGUUCCAGCAAAAAUUGAAGACGGUUGUAGCAAAUUCGCACACUGGUUCCAGCAAAGAAAAAACCGUGGUAGCAAAAAAUUGGUUGGUUUCAAUAAAAGCUGA
RNAcentral lists this ribosomal RNA (263 nucleotides) under Triticum aestivum (bread wheat). RNAcentral describes it as "partial small subunit ribosomal RNA". The record is from RNAcentral. Lineage: Eukaryota; Viridiplantae; Streptophyta; Magnoliopsida; Poales; Poaceae.